This 1378-nucleotide ribosomal RNA is filed under the name Nocardia sp. IB2014I100-5. RNAcentral's name for it is "bacterial SSU rRNA". It matches the Rfam family "Bacterial small subunit ribosomal RNA". Lineage: Bacteria; Bacillati; Actinomycetota; Actinomycetes; Mycobacteriales; Nocardiaceae. The record is from RNAcentral.
CNUANCAUGCAGUCGAGCGGUAGGCCCUUCGGGGUACACGAGCGGCGAACGGGUGAGUAACACGUGGGUGAUCUGCCUUGCACUUCGGGAUAAGCCUGGGAAACUGGGUCUAAUACCGGAUAUGACCCGAGAAUGCAUGUUCUCGGGUGGAAAGAUUUAUCGGUGCGAGAUGGGCCCGCGGCCUAUCAGCUUGUUGGUGAGGUAACGGCUCACCAAGGCGACGACGGGUAGCCGACCUGAGAGGGUGACCGGCCACACUGGGACUGAGACACGGCCCAGAUUCCUACGGGAGGCAGCAGUGGGGAAUAUUGCACAAUGGGCGAAAGCCUGAUGCAGCGACGCCGCUUGCGGGAUGACGGCCUUCGGGUUGUAAACCGCUUUUGACAGGGACGAAGCGCAAGUGACUGUACCUGUAGAAUAAGGACCGGCCAACUACGUGCCAGCAGCCGCGGUAAUACGUAGGGUCCGAGCGUUGUCCGGAAUUACUGGGCGUAAAGAGCUUGUAGGCGGUUCGUCGCGUCGUUUGUGAAAACUUGGGGCUCAACCUUAAGCUUGCCGGCGAUACGGGCGGACUAGAGUACUUCAGGGGAGACUGGAAUUCCUGGUGUAGCGGUGAAAUGCGCAGAUAUCAGGAGGAACACCGGUGGCGAAGGCGGGUCUCUGGGAAGUAACUGACGCUGAGAAGCGAAAGCAUGGGUAGCAAACAGGAUUAGAUACCCUGGUAGUCCAUGCCGUAAACGGUGGGUACUAGGUGUGGGGCUCCUUCCACGGACUCCGUGCCGUAGCUAACGCAUUAAGUACCCCGCCUGGGGAGUACGGCCGCAAGGCUAAAACUCAAAGAAAUUGACGGGGGCCCGCACAAGCGGCGGAGCAUGUGGAUUAAUUCGAUGCAACGCGAAGAACCUUACCUGGGUUUGACAUACACCGGAAACCUGCAGAGAUGUAGGCCCCCUUGUGGUCGGUGUACAGGUGGUGCAUGGCNGUCGUCAGCUCGUGUCGUGAGAUGUUGGGUUAAGUCCCGCAACGAGCGCAACCCUUAUCUUAUGUUGCCAGCGCGUAAUGGCGGGGACUCGUGAGAGACUGCCGGGGUCAACUCGGAGGAAGGUGGGGACGACGUCAAGUCAUCAUGCCCCUUAUGUCCAGGGCUUCACACAUGCUACAAUGGCCGGUACAGAGGGCUGCGAUACCGCGAGGUGGAGCGAAUCCCUUAAAGCCGGUCUCAGUUCGGAUCGGGGUCUGCAACUCGACCCCGUGAAGUUGGAGUCGCUAGUAAUCGCAGAUCAGCAACGCUGCGGUGAAUACGUUCCCGGGCCUUGUACACACCGCCCGUCACGUCAUGAAAGUCGGUAACACCCGAAGCCGGUGGCCUAACCCCNNU